This 499-nucleotide ribosomal RNA is filed under the name uncultured bacterium. RNAcentral's name for it is "partial 16S ribosomal RNA". It matches the Rfam family "Bacterial small subunit ribosomal RNA", at positions 29 to 507 of the family's 1533-position model. The record is from RNAcentral.
ACGAACGCUGGCGGCGUGCUUAACACAUGCAAGUCGAACGGGUCUGCCCUGUUUUUUGCGGGGUGGGUCAGUGGCGAACGGGUGAGUAACACGUGAGUAACCUGCCCCUCACUUCUGGAUAACCGCUUGAAAGGGUGGCUAAUACGGGGUGUUCUGGCUGUGCCGCAUGGUGUGGCUGGGAAAGAUUCACUUUUGUGGUGUUUUUGUGGGGGAUGGGCUCGCGGCCUGUCAGCUUGUUGGUGGGGUGAUGGCCUGGCAAGGCUUUGACGGGUAGCCGGCCUGAGAGGGUGGGCGGUCACACUGGGACUGAGAUACGGCCCAGACUGCUGCGGGAGGCAGCAGUGGGGGGUAGUGCACAAUGGGCGGAAGCGUGAUGCAGCGACGUCGCGUGAGGGAUGGAGGCCUUCGGGUUGUGAACCUCUUUCGCCGGUGAAGAAGGUCCUGCUCUUUGUGGUGGGGUUGACGGUAGCCGGGUUAUGAAGCGCCGGCUAACUACGUG